This 825-nucleotide long non-coding RNA is filed under the name Prunus dulcis (almond). Its description in RNAcentral is "sRNA ncRNA". The record is from RNAcentral. Lineage: Eukaryota; Viridiplantae; Streptophyta; Magnoliopsida; Rosales; Rosaceae.
AUGAUGCUUUGGAUAAAUUAAAUGAAGAGCUUGUAAACAUCUUUUAUAUGUCUUAUUUUAGAAUCAAUUUUGCUUCAUUCAUGCUUUGCAAAUCUCAUAUUAUGUUCUGUCAACAUCCAAGGUCUAGUUAACUGAUGCACAGACUACAAGUGACUAAAAGCGAAUCAAAUCUAAUGGCACGUUUAAUUUCGAUUGUCAAAUGAUGUUACUUGUUCAAUAUAUUUUUUGUUUUCUUAAUGUCUGGUUAGUGUGCAGACACCAAAUCCCUGUUUAAUGGAAUAAUAAAGGUAUAUACAAGUGUCACAAACCAUGGCAACAUAGAACUUAAUACGUAAAAGAAUGAUCAAUUGUGCAGGUUGUUUACUUAUUGGGCAAGGCAAUUAACGGGAGACUUUAAAAAAAAAGGAAAAUCUUUCAUCCUUUUACACGGUUAAUAGUUUUUUUUGGCCAUGCAAUGUAGUUCCUAGUUAGAAAUCCUGGUAGGUUUUAGAGAAUAGAGUUUCUUUCUGCGAGUAAUUGGUAGAACCUUUUCUAAUUUUUUUUUUUCCCCAUGUGUAAAAUCAGGGUUAUGCACCUGCAUUCGAAGAAGGCACAAAGUCUAAUUGUGGCAGUCAUGGUGAUAUGCAACUGUCAAAUGACAAGAACAGUUUUGAAAGCAGCCAUGAUGAUGAUUUUGAGCGUGAAAGUAAUGGAUAUAGUGAAGAGGCUGAAGCCAGACAAGGCCAUGAUGAUGAUGAUACAUAUGUUGCAAAUGACGAAUAUAAUGGAUGCAACUACGAUGACGAAUACAAUUACAAUGAGGAAUGUGAUUUUGAUGAAUUAUGA